This 270-nucleotide unclassified non-coding RNA is filed under the name uncultured Microascales. Its description in RNAcentral is "sequence contains ITS2". Lineage: Eukaryota; Fungi; Ascomycota; Sordariomycetes; Microascales. RNAcentral also lists the same sequence under 1 other name. The record is from RNAcentral.
AACGCACAUUGCGCCCGGUAGUAAUCUGCCGGGCAUGCCUGUCCGAGCGUCAUUUCAGCCCUCGACCCACUAUUCGCGUAGCUGGAUCGGUGUUGGGGCACUACGGUGGAAUACCCGUAGGCUCCGAAAUGAAGUGGCGGUCCCGCCGCGGCGCCCCCAUGCGUAGUAACAUCUCGUCUCGCAUCGGGUCCCGGCGGAGGCCUGCCGUCAAGCCUAUUCAAUCACAGAUGGUUUGACCUCGGAUCAGGUAGGGUUACCCGCUGAACUUAA